RNAcentral lists this ribosomal RNA (263 nucleotides) under uncultured Streptococcus sp. RNAcentral's name for it is "partial 16S ribosomal RNA". It matches the Rfam family "Bacterial small subunit ribosomal RNA", at positions 81 to 339 of the family's 1533-position model. Lineage: Bacteria; Bacillati; Bacillota; Bacilli; Lactobacillales; Streptococcaceae. The record is from RNAcentral.
CUCUUCUUGGAUGAGUUGCGAACGGGUGAGUAACGCGUAGGUAACCUGCCUUGUAGCGGGGGAUAACUAUUGGAAACGAUAGCUAAUACCGCAUAACAAUGGAUGACACAUGUCAUUUAUUUGAAAGGGGCAAUUGCUCCACUACAAGAUGGACCUGCGUUGUAUUAGCUAGUAGGUGAGGUAAUGGCUCACCUAGGCGACGAUACAUAGCCGACCUGAGAGGGUGAUCGGCCACACUAGGACUGAGACACGGCCCAGACUCC